UGGCUCAGGAUAAACGCUGGCGGCGUGCCUAAUACAUGCAAGUCGAACGAGGGCCUUGUAGCAAUACGGGGUUCCUAGUGGCGAAUGGGUGAGUAACGCGUUGGUGACCUGCCCCAAAGCGGGGAAUAACUCCGGGAAACUGGAGCUAAUACCCCAUGUGGUUACGGUUUUUAGAAAACCGUAUCUAAAGGAGUAAUCCACUUUGGGAGGGGCCUGCGUCCCAUCAGCUAGUUGGUAGGGUAAUGGCCUACCAAGGCGACGACGGGUAGGGGGCCUGAGAGGGUGGCCCCCCACACUGGCACUGAAACACGGGCCAGACACCUACGGGUGGCAGCAGUAGGGAAUAUUGCACAAUGGGCGAAAGCCUGAUGCAGCAACGCCGCGUGUACGAUGAAGACCUUCGGGUUGUAAAGUGCUUUUCUGAAGGAAGAGAAAGGACGGUACUUCAGGAAUAAGGAUCGGCUAACUACGUGCCAGCAGCCGCGGUAAUACGUAGGAUCCGAGCGUUAUCCGAGUUUACUGGGCGUAAAGCGCGUGCAGGCGGUUUGGUAAGUUGGAUGUGAAAGCUCCUGGCUCAACUGGGAGAGGCCGUUCAAAACUAUCAGACUAGAGGACAGUAGAGGGAGGUGGAAUUCCCGGUGUAGUAGUGAAAUGCGUAGAUAUCGGGAGGAACACCAGUGGCGAAGGCGGCCUCCUGGACUGUUCCUGACGCUCAGACGCNAAAGCUANGGNAGCGAACGGGANUANAAACCCCGGUAGUCCUANCAGUAAACGAUGUAGACUUGGCGUCGGUGGGG
Molecule: ribosomal RNA, 797 nt
Filed under: uncultured bacterium
Lineage: Bacteria
Description: bacterial SSU rRNA
Rfam family: Bacterial small subunit ribosomal RNA
Source: RNAcentral